RNAcentral lists this ribosomal RNA (512 nucleotides) under Ruminococcus sp. CS1. Its description in RNAcentral is "bacterial SSU rRNA". It matches the Rfam family "Bacterial small subunit ribosomal RNA", at positions 8 to 521 of the family's 1533-position model. The record is from RNAcentral. RNAcentral also lists the same sequence under 1 other name. Lineage: Bacteria; Bacillati; Bacillota; Clostridia; Eubacteriales; Oscillospiraceae.
AGAGUUUGAUCCUGGCUCAGGAUGAACGCUGGCGGCGUGCUUAACACAUGCAAGUCGAACGGGAAAUACUUCAUUGAGACUUCGGUGGAUUUGAUUUAUUUCUAGUGGCGGACGGGUGAGUAACGCGUGGGUAACCUGCCUUAUACAGGGGGAUAACAGUCAGAAAUGACUGCUAAUACCGCAUAAGCGCACAGGACCGCAUGGUCCGGUGUGAAAAACUCCGGUGGUAUAAGAUGGACCCGCGUUGGAUUAGCUUGUUGGUGGGGUAACGGCCCACCAAGGCGACGAUCCAUAGCCGGCCUGAGAGGGUGAACGGCCACAUUGGGACUGAGACACGGCCCAGACUCCUACGGGAGGCAGCAGUGGGGAAUAUUGCACAAUGGGGGAAACCCUGAUGCAGCGACGCCGCGUGAAGGAAGAAGUAUCUCGGUAUGUAAACUUCUAUCAGCAGGGAAGAUAGUGACGGUACCUGACUAAGAAGCCCCGGCUAACUACGUGCCAGCAGCCGCGGU